CCUACGGGAGGCAGCAGUGAGGAAUAUUGGUCAAUGGACGAGAGUCUGAACCAGCCAAGUAGCGUGAAGGAUGACUGCCCUAUGGUUUGUAAACUUCUUUUAUAUGGGAAUAAAACGUUCCACGUGUGGGAUUUUGUAUGUACCAUAUGAAUAAGGAUCGGCUAACUCCGUGCCAGCAGCCGCGGUAAUACGGAGGAUCCGAGCGUUAUCCGGAUUUAUUGGGUUUAAAGGGAGCGUAGGUGGAUUGUUAAGUCAGUUGUGAAAGUUUGCGGCUCAACCGUAAAAUUGCAGUUGAAACUGGCAGUCUUGAGUACAGUAGAGGUGGGCGGAAUUCGUGGUGUAGCGGUGAAAUGCUUAGAUAUCACGAAGAACUCCGAUUGCGAAGGCAGUUCACUAGACUGCAACUGACACUGAGGCUCGAAAGUGUGGGUAUCAAACAGGAUUAGAUACCCGGGUAGUC
Molecule: ribosomal RNA, 460 nt
Filed under: uncultured bacterium
Lineage: Bacteria
Description: partial 16S ribosomal RNA
Rfam family: Bacterial small subunit ribosomal RNA
Source: RNAcentral